AUGGCACAGGUGUCCCCUUUACCUGGCACAGGUGUCCCCUUCCAUGGCACAGGUGUCCUCUUUACCUGGCACAGGUGUCCCCUCAUCAUGGCACAGGUGUCCCCUUCCAUGGCACAGGUGUCCCCUUUACCUGGCACAGGUGUCCCCUUCCAUGGCACAGGUGUCCCCUUUAUCAUGGCACAGGUGUCCUCUUUACCUGGCACAGGUGUCUCCUCAUCAUGGCACAGGUGUCCUCUUUACCUGUCACAAGUGUCCCCUUUACCUGGCACGGGUGUCCCCUUUAUUGUGUCACACGUGACCCUUUUGUCCCGUCACAGUUGUCCCUUUAUCCUGGCACAGUUGUCCCCCUUGCCUGGGCAGAGGUGCCCCCCUUUACCUGGCACAGGUGUCCGUGGCACAUGUGACCUUCUUUUCCUGGCACAGUCAUCCCUCUUGUCCCAGCACAGGUGUCCCCUUGUGCCAGUUUCCCCUCUUUACCUGACACAGGUGUCCCCUUAUCCCAGGUGUCCUCCUUACCCCAUCACAGGUGUCCCCUUUACCUGGCACAGGUGCCCCUUGCCAGUCCCAGGAGGGGAAUCCACGCUCUGGCUGCUGCAGGAUCUGGGCCUCCCAUUUCCAGCCCGGCAGAAUUCCCAGCCCCUCCUUUAUUAAAUGUAAUAAAUAAAUAAAAAUGUAAAUUAAAA
RNAcentral lists this long non-coding RNA (683 nucleotides) under Ficedula albicollis (Collared flycatcher). Its description in RNAcentral is "lncRNA (ENSFALG00000026884.1)". Lineage: Eukaryota; Metazoa; Chordata; Aves; Passeriformes; Muscicapidae. The record is from RNAcentral.